UAAGAAUUUAAAAGUCGAACAGACUUAUUUUUUAAGAAUACUGCUUCUUAAAAUAUUCUUAAUUCAACAUCGAGGUCGCAAAAUACAAUAUAGAUAAGAACUCCCCAUUGAAAUUACGCUGUUAUCCCUAAGGUAACUAAAUCUUACUAUCCCAUUAAGGAUCAAAAACUACAUAAAUAAAUGAACUUAAAAACUAAAGUUAAUAUUUAAUUGCCACCCCAGCAAAAUAUAAAUAAACAUUAAGAAAUAUAUAAGUAAAAUUUUAUAACAUAUAACUAUAUAAAGUUCUAUAGGGUCUUAUCGUCCCAAUAAACUAAUAAAGCAUUUUAACUUUAAAUUUAAAUUUUAACAUUUAAAGAAAUAAAAUAUCCCUCUCAUUCAUCCAUUCAUACAAGCUCCUAAUUAAGAAACUAAUUACUAUGCUACCUUUGCACAGUCAAAAUACUGCAGCCAUUUAGAUACUAAACCAUAGGGCAGAAGAUACCUUUCAUAAAAUCA
RNAcentral lists this ribosomal RNA (498 nucleotides) under Nesophrosyne comma. Its description in RNAcentral is "partial 16S ribosomal RNA". The record is from RNAcentral. Lineage: Eukaryota; Metazoa; Arthropoda; Insecta; Hemiptera; Cicadellidae. RNAcentral also lists the same sequence under 1 other name.